UCUACGGGAGGCAGCAGUGAGGAAUAUUGGUCAAUGGGCGCGAGCCUGAACCAGCCAAGUAGCGUGAAGGAUGACUGCCCUACGGGUUGUAAACUUCUUUUAUAAAGGAAUAAAGUGAGGCACGUGUGCCUUUUUGUAUGUACUUUAUGAAUAAGGAUCGGCUAACUCCGUGCCAGCAGCCGCGGUAAUACGGAGGAUCCGAGCGUUAUCCGGAUUUAUUGGGUUUAAAGGGAGCGUAGAUGGGUUGUUAAGUCAGUGGUGAAAGUUUGCGGCUCAACCGGAAAAUUGCAAUUGAUACUGGCAGGCUUGAGUGCAGUGGAGGUAGGCGGAAUGCGUGGUGUAGCGGUGAAAUGCGUAGAUAUCACGAAGAACUCCGAUUGCGAAGGCAGCUUACUAAACUGCCACUGACAUUGAUGCUCGAAAGUGUGGGUAUCAAACAGGAUUAGAUACCCCUGUAGUC
This 460-nucleotide ribosomal RNA is filed under the name uncultured bacterium. Its description in RNAcentral is "partial 16S ribosomal RNA". It matches the Rfam family "Bacterial small subunit ribosomal RNA", at positions 338 to 795 of the family's 1533-position model. The record is from RNAcentral.